AUUUUCUCAGUUUUCCCUCACCAGCUUUGAAUAGCGCUGUUGGAGGAAAUCUCAGAAGAAAUAAAGGAACAAUGUCAUGAAGUGGUGUUACCUUAUUUGUUUUCCUUAGUUUAUAUUUAUGCUG
This is a long non-coding RNA of Haliotis rubra (blacklip abalone), 124 nucleotides long. RefSeq lists it as uncharacterized. NCBI's taxonomy places the organism in Eukaryota, Metazoa, Mollusca, Gastropoda, Lepetellida, Haliotidae. The transcript has 3 exons. The record is from RefSeq and is a predicted model, not a curated record.